CUUGGUCAUUUAGAGGAAGUAAAAGUCGUAACAAGGUAUUCGUAGGUGAACCUGCGUAUGGAUCAUUAUCGUUCCUCCUUCAAUACAACUUCGCACAGUCAUCCUACAUAUGAUUGUGUCGCACCAUUAUGAAAAUAACAAGCUAUUACUCUAUAACUUGUUUUAAACCUUUCCAUUCAACAAAAUCAUUGUUGUUUUGUCUUUGAAUAUUAUAGACGUACAUAUACAGAAUAAUAUAAUUCUGUACGGUGGAUCACUCGGCUCGUUAUUCGAUGAAGAGCGCAGCAAAGUGCGAGAAAGCAAUGCGAAUUGCAGGACACAUUGAGCAUGAAUAACUCGAACGCAUCUAGCAGCCAAGACUUUAGUCGAGGCUAAAUUUGCUUCAGUCUUGUUUAUAUAACAUCAAAUUCAUUUUACCAAAUGAAUUGCUGGCAAGUUCAAUUAUAUUUAGCUUGCAAUACAUAUCUAACAUACUUCAUUCUCUAUAUAGAAUGUUGUAUACGUAUAAAACGAAGUUAUACACAAUACACAAUAUUUGUGUAAAUUGUCAUAACAUGAGAAAUCUUUAUCAUAUCCAUGUUAUUGACUCAUACAAAUAUAUAGAUGUGUGUAUAAAUGAAAUAUACCUUCUCUCCUUUCAAGCUGAAGUCAAAUUAGAAUACUUGCUGAACUUAAGCAUAUUAAUAAGCAAAGGAAAAGAAAUCAACUGAGAUUGCCUUAGUAAUGGCGAAUGAACCGGCAAAAGCUCAUUGCUGAAGCGUGUUAAAUUCACUUUUGACAUGCAUUGUAGCAUUUGGGGUGACUUAUGUAUGGUGCCUGUUCGUGUGAGUUCCUUUGAUCAGGGCUUUAACCAUAGAAGGUGCUAGUCCUAUAAUCACGAAUAGUUUUGUGCUGUACAUUGUACACCUUUCGAGUAGCGUAGUUUGAGAUUGCUACGCCAACGUGGGACGUAAACUUGUUCCAAAGC
This 967-nucleotide ribosomal RNA is filed under the name uncultured fungus. RNAcentral's name for it is "eukaryotic LSU rRNA". The stretch from base 639 to 967 matches the Rfam family "Eukaryotic large subunit ribosomal RNA", at positions 1 to 316 of the family's 3401-position model. The record is from RNAcentral. Lineage: Eukaryota; Fungi.